RNAcentral lists this long non-coding RNA (1553 nucleotides) under Homo sapiens (human). Its description in RNAcentral is "non-protein coding lnc-DENND3-6:2". Lineage: Eukaryota; Metazoa; Chordata; Mammalia; Primates; Hominidae. The record is from RNAcentral.
GCUCGCGUAAUUUGUCCUGUAGUGACCGCGCCGGGGUUUCGGGGUGGCCCGAGGCUGCGCGCGGGCGUGGCGGCCGGACGAGGAAAGCCCUGGUCUCGGGGGUGGCCGGGGUCGCCCCGCCGAGCGGACAUCCUGGGGUCCCACCUGCCUCGCUCUCCGCCAGCGGGAUUAGACGGACUUCGGGAAAGUCCUCCCCAUCUCCUUCCCUGCCCCCAAAUCCCGAAGGGGUCCCCUCUGGAGAACCUCCCUCCUGAGCGGCCCUGCGGCCCCGCCCCCAGAGUUGGACGCCCGCUGUCGGGCACCCGCUGCGGGCCCCGGGCCUUGCAGUGCACUCUCCAGGCACCACACCGACCCUAACGAGCGGUUCCUGGGCCCUUUUUGCAGACAAGGAAACUGAGGCUCAGAGAUUCUUUUCAUGGCAUUAUAGCUAAGUUGGGCUGGGCCAUUAUUUGAUUUUGGAAGAUGAAAAAUCAUGAAAGGGACUUAGAAGUCCACUGGAGGUAGACAGGUUACCUAAAUGAACGCCAGCAGGGAACGAGCCCUGCAAUCCCUCCCGAGGGCUACAGACCUGAGACGGGCUCCAGGAAAAGGAGGGAAGGCUCGCCCCGACACCGACCCGGGCUUCCGCGGUGUGAGCCAGUUUCAGCGAGGAGCUAGUUGGUUAUGACCGGAACGUGCCGUAGGUGGGGUGGGGGAAAUAGCAAAAGGCGAGGUUGGAGGGAUUGAAAAAUGCAGACGGCUGCGUGGGGCUUGCUUAGGUGCCUGGAGUUUAUUCUUUAGGCAACAGGGAACCUUUGGAGGGCUUUAAGCAGGAAGUGAUAACUGAUUUGUGUUAUUUAAAAAAAAAAAAAAGUCACUCUGGCAACCUUGUGGUCGGAAAUGAAACCAGAAGAACCCUCAAGGCUGCAACUUUCAUUUUUAUGGUGUCAUUUUGAUGCUAACCACAAGCCAGGAAGCAGGACAGACAGGCACCGAGGCCUUUUGAAAGGUGAACACCCUGAAGCCCAGAGAGGUGACACACGUCAUUGCAUUAGGAGCUUUUAUAAAAGUAAAAAUGAAGUAAAAUAAAAAGCUUUUGCUUAUCAAGAUUUUACCAUAUUUAAAUGUUUGGGUUGUAUUGUUCUUUAAUGAGAUGUAUUAAGGUUGGUGUUUUUCUGGGUUUUGUUACUUUUUACUACAUAUGAAAUUGUAAGGAAUUGCCUCUCCAUGCCAGCCUCAGGCCUUUGCGCGUGCUAUUUGCUCUGCCUGGAACUUCUUGCUCCUCACUUCGUUCAAUACCCUGCUUAUAUAUCACCUCAUUGAUACAGCCGACCACUUCAUAUAAUAGGAACCACCCACUGCCCUGCUAUCCUCACACACAGUCCGCACUUAGUCUGCUCUGUUGUUCUCCAAAGCACCUAUUGUUCACCAUAGCCCAACACUGUGUUCUUGUUUAUUUCUUGAUUGUCCGCUCUCUCCACUAGAAUCUUAGAUUCAUUAGAGCACGGGCUUUGUUUUGUUCACUAAUAGGUCCUGGCACACAGUAAGUAUUUGUCAAGUGAAUGAACGAAGCU